Molecule: ribosomal RNA, 253 nt
Filed under: uncultured bacterium
Lineage: Bacteria
Description: partial 16S ribosomal RNA
Rfam family: Bacterial small subunit ribosomal RNA
Source: RNAcentral
UACGAAGGGGGCUAGCGUUACUCGGAUUGACUGGGCGUAAAGGGCGCGUAGGCGGUUUGUACAGUCAGACGUGAAAUUCCUGGGCUCAACCUGGGGGCUGCGUUUGAUACGUGCAGACUUGAGUUCGGAAGAGGGUCGUGGAAUUCCCAGUGUAGAGGUGAAAUUCGUAGAUAUUGGGAAGAACACCGGUGGCGAAGGCGGCGACCUGGUCCGAUACUGACGCUGAGGCGCGAAAGCUAGGGGAGCAAACGGG